AUCACUUCUUGGCCUUUUGGCUAAAAUUAAGUGU
Molecule: small nuclear RNA, 34 nt
Filed under: Cervus elaphus hippelaphus
Lineage: Eukaryota; Metazoa; Chordata; Mammalia; Artiodactyla; Cervidae
Source: RNAcentral